This 982-nucleotide non-coding RNA is filed under the name Guttera pucherani (Kenya guineafowl). Its description in RNAcentral is "12S ribosomal RNA". It matches the Rfam family "Bacterial small subunit ribosomal RNA". Lineage: Eukaryota; Metazoa; Chordata; Aves; Galliformes; Numididae. The record is from RNAcentral.
AAAAGACUUAGUCCUAACCUUAUUAUUGGCUAUUGCUAGACAUAUACAUGCAAGUAUCCGCACUCCAGUGAAAAUGCCCCUAGACCUUCUCACUCCCUCAAAGCAAAAGGAGCGGGCAUCAGGCACACUCAACAGUAGCCCAAGACGCCUUGCUAAGCCACACCCCCACGGGUAUUCAGCAGUAAUUAACAUUAAGCAAUAAGUGAAAACUUGACUUAGUUAUAGUAAUACACCCCCAGGGUUGGUAAAUCUUGUGCCAGCCACCGCGGCCAUACAAGAAACCCAAGUCAAUAAUUACCCGGCGUAAAGAGUGGCUACAUGUUAUCCCACCAACUAAGAUCAAAAUGCAACCAAGCUGUCAUAAGCCAAAGAUUCACCUAAGCCCAACCUCAAAACCAUCUUAGCCUAACGCGACUAAUUCCAAUCCACGAAAGCCAGGGCACAAACUGGGAUUAGAUACCCCACUAUGCCUAGCCAUAAAUCUAGAUACUUUUAUACCUAAAUAUCCGCCCGAGAACUACGAGCACAAACGCUUAAAACUCUAAGGACUUGGCGGUGCCCCAAACCCACCUAGAGGAGCCUGUUCUAUAACCGAUAAUCCACGAUUCACCCAACCACCUCUUGCCAACACAGCCUACAUACCGCCGUCGCCAGCUCACCUACAUGAAAGCUUAACAGUGAGCCCAAUAGUCUCCGCUAACAAGUCAGGUCAAGGUAUAGCUCAUGAGGUGGAAGAAAUGGGCUACAUUUUCUAGCGUAGAACACUUACGAAAAAGAGCAUGAAACCUGCUCUUAGAAGGAGGAUUUAGCAGUAAAAUGGGACCAUACAUCAGCCCACUUUAAGCCGGCCCUGGAGCACGUACAUACCGCCCGUCACCCUCUUCGCAAGCCACCUAUACCAAUAACUAAUACACCCACCCCAAAGGCUAAAGACGAGGUAAGUCGUAACAAGGUAAGUGUACCGGAAGGUGCACUUAGACUA